UCAACCGAUCGUCCGGCCCGACCGCAUCAUUAGUGGGCAACAUCGCGGGAAGAGUUACCAACUCGUACUCGACGUCGCGCCAGCGUGAACUGGAGGCAGGCAGUGCUGGGGAAGCCGUCGUCGGGGAAAGAAAAGGUAGUAACGUUGUCAGCAUCAAGGCCGCCAUCAAUCCCCACUUAAUCAGCUUUUUUCCUGGCGUAUGUUUUGCGGACCCGGCGUGAAUCACUUGCCACUUGCGUCAACAAAAGAUGUGGACGAUCAUCUUAAUAGCGUCGUUUGCCGUGCUUGGGGCGUCUGCGGAUGUCGGGCCAGAG
Non-coding RNA from Penaeus vannamei (Pacific white shrimp), 314 nucleotides. Lineage: Eukaryota; Metazoa; Arthropoda; Malacostraca; Decapoda; Penaeidae. The record is from RefSeq and is a predicted model, not a curated record.